This 442-nucleotide ribosomal RNA is filed under the name uncultured bacterium. RNAcentral's name for it is "partial 16S ribosomal RNA". It matches the Rfam family "Bacterial small subunit ribosomal RNA", at positions 338 to 795 of the family's 1533-position model. The record is from RNAcentral.
CCUACGGGUGGCAGCAGUGGGGGAUAUUGCACAAUGGGGGAAACCCUGAUGCAGCGACGCCGCGUGGGCGAAGAAGUAUUUCGGUAUGUAAAGCCCUAUCAGCAGGGAAGAAGAAAUGACGGUACCUGAGUAAGAAGCACCGGCUAACUACGUGCCAGCAGCCGCGGUAAUACGGAUGGUGCAACCGUUAUCCGGCUUUACUGGGGGGAGAGGGAGCGCAGGCGGCACGGCAAGCCUAGUGUGAAAGCCCGCGGCCCAACGGGGGGACUGCCUUGGGAACUGCCGGGCUGGAGUGCCGGAGAGGUAGGCGGAAUUCCUAGUGUAGCGGUGAAAUGCGUAGAUAUUAGGAGGAACACCAGUGGCGAAGGCGGCCAACUGGACGGUGACUGACGCUGAGGAGCGAAAGCGUGGGGAGCAAACAGGAUUAGACACCCCAGUAGUC